GAGCAGUGUCUUUGGAAUGAAUUUGUCAAAUGGGUGAUGUGCAUUUAGACAUCCAUCCCCUACACGGGGCCCUGCCUCUCACCUGAGUUUUUGCAUGUUGUUCUGGUGUGCCAGAGCCUGCACCCUCUAGGACUCACCCCGGGUGCCACUCCUAGGAGCUCCCACCACACCAACAGCCCACGAGAGAUGAAUCUGCCUUGUUGCCUGCUGGACGGAAAGGCCCAUCUGGGCUACUGUGUUCAUGAAUGUAAAAUGGCUGAUAAACUGUUCAUAUAAGUAAUACAUUUUCCUUUUAAAAUGUCUUUUUCACUGUCUUAGUCCAUUUUCUGCUGCUAAUAACAGAAUACUUGAAACUGGGUAAUUGAUAAAGGAAAGCAAUGUAUGGAGGCUGAGAAGUCCAUAUCUGGUAAGAGCCUGCUUGCUGGUGAGGACUCUCUGAAGAGUGGCAGGGUAUCACAUGGUGAGGGGGCUGAGUGUGCUAACAUGCUAACUCAAGCCUUUCUUCCUCUCCUGAUAAAACCACCACUACCCCUCCCAU
Molecule: long non-coding RNA, 538 nt
Filed under: Homo sapiens (human)
Lineage: Eukaryota; Metazoa; Chordata; Mammalia; Primates; Hominidae
Description: non-protein coding lnc-GTDC1-11:1
Source: RNAcentral